GCGCUGUUUGCCUGAUUCUAGAGCUCAAUGCUGCCCAUCAGGUGUUUGAAGUCAUGAUUUGGUGAAAAUGGGACAGUGAAGACGUUCUGAAAAAAAAAAAAGGCAUAUGAUGAGGUUUGGACAUUGAGAGGUAUAGGCUGGCUGUAGGAGUCGGGUAAGUGCCAAGGAAAAGGGCCUCAGGGUAGCUUUUGAAUGGGAUUUGGCGACAGGGAAGGAGAGAAAGCUUUGGGGUGGUGAGAACAAGGGAAGGGAAAGGGAAAACAAAAGCGUGGAGGUGGGAAAGGAAACCUGGGGAGAAAGGUAAGCGAUUGCCUCAUUUGGAGUCUUGUGUUUAUGUUUGGCUUGCAAAUAGAAGCAUAUAUAAUUCUAGGGUUGGGCUUUUCUUGCCAAGGAAUGGAUUUUCUCCUUUCUGUUCUUAGGUUUAUGCUGUGAUGCACAGUGACACGUACCUCUCUCUGUUCAGCAAGGUUCAUUCCGGCUAUUCAUUUAACAGCUGGAAAGUUCUAUAUCUGUGGCAAAGAUGAUCUGCGGUGGAGGGUUUAUUCCUGGCCCCUGGCCUUCCUGGCCUUGGUCUUUUGAGUGCUUGCCGGAUCCCUAGUUCCUUUCCGGUUCCAGUAGUGAGAGGAAUAAACACUUAAAACUCCAGUCCAAUACACUCUCAAUGUCAAUACCCUCCCUAUCUUUAAAAGAA
RNAcentral lists this long non-coding RNA (691 nucleotides) under Homo sapiens (human). Its description in RNAcentral is "non-protein coding lnc-STIM2-4:3". Lineage: Eukaryota; Metazoa; Chordata; Mammalia; Primates; Hominidae. The record is from RNAcentral.